CGUGGGGUAGAGCAGCCCGGUAGCUCGUCAGGCUCAUAACCUGGAGGUCGUUGGUUCAAAUCCAACCCCCGCAACCA
RNAcentral lists this transfer RNA (77 nucleotides) under Mesorhizobium sp. M7A.F.Ca.MR.148.00.0.0. RNAcentral describes it as "tRNA-Met". It matches the Rfam family "tRNA". Rfam says of the family: Transfer RNA (tRNA) molecules are approximately 80 nucleotides in length. Lineage: Bacteria; Pseudomonadati; Pseudomonadota; Alphaproteobacteria; Hyphomicrobiales; Phyllobacteriaceae. The record is from RNAcentral.